This 468-nucleotide ribosomal RNA is filed under the name uncultured bacterium. RNAcentral's name for it is "partial 16S ribosomal RNA". It matches the Rfam family "Bacterial small subunit ribosomal RNA", at positions 28 to 507 of the family's 1533-position model. The record is from RNAcentral.
GACGAACGCUGGCGGCGGGCUUAACACAUGCAAGUCGAACGGAAAGGCCCUGCUUUUGUGGUGUUCUCGAUUGGCGAACGGGUGAGGAACAAGUGAGUAACCGGCCCUUGACUUUGGUAUAACUUCAGGAAACUGGGGCUAAGACCGUAUAGGAGCUCCUGCUGCAUUGUGGGGGUUGGAAAUUUUCGGCUGUUGGGGAUGGACGCGCGGCUGAUCAUCUUGUUGGUUGGGUAGUGGCUUGCCAAGGCUUUGAAGGGUAGCCGGCACGAGAGGGUGACCGGACACCAUGGGCCUGAGAUACGGACCAGACUCCUACGGGGGGCAGCAGUGGGGAAUAUUGCACAAUGGGCGGAAGCCUGAUGAAGAAACGCCGGGUGCGGGAUGACGGCCUUCGGGUUGUAAACCGCUUUAGCCUGUGACGCAGCGUGAGUGACGGUAAUGGGUAAAGAAGCACCGGCUAACUACGUG